UUCUGGGAAAUGGUGUAUACCAAUUUGUAGACAAGUAUGGUGCCAAUGUGGAUGGAUACAGCCCUAUCUACAACACAGAUGACUGGUCUCCAAGUGGUGAUGUUUAUGAUGGGGGAACAGGGUUGGCAAUAUGGGCAGUAUUGAUCAUGAAGUACUAUAUUAAUUUUUUAAUAGUGUAGUUGGAAUGAGAUCAGUGAUAGAUCACAUUAAUUUUGGGAUGGUUAAUGUGCAGCCCUAUCUACAACACAGAUGACUGGUCUCCAAGUGGUGAUGUUUAUGAUGGGGGAACAGGGUUGGCAAUAUGGGCAGUGACACUAGCAAGGCUUCUUGCAGGAGGAGCUCUUCUUGUUUACAAUACAAGUGCUUUGGCACUAUAGAUUAUUCCUAUUUCGGUUUUUGUUAUGUAUGAUUUUCUGUCAAAACAGCCCAAAAUCAAUACCUUGUGUAUCCCUAGCUCUGUGUAAUUUCCCAUUUCCUAUGGAAUGGAUCCCUGAUACCUCUCAUUUACUAUCAA
Hevea brasiliensis (rubber tree) is the source of this 514-nucleotide RNA transcript. It is a transcript of the gene named photosystem II 10 kDa polypeptide, chloroplastic, with no coding region annotated. The transcript has 4 exons. Lineage: Eukaryota; Viridiplantae; Streptophyta; Magnoliopsida; Malpighiales; Euphorbiaceae. The record is from RefSeq and is a predicted model, not a curated record.